UACGAAGGGGGCUAGCGUUGUUCGGAAUCACUGGGCGUAAAGCGCGCGUAGGCGGUCAUGCAAGUCAGAGGUGAAAUGCCGGGGCUUAACCCCGGAACUGCCUUUGAAACUGCAUGACUGGAAUCUUGGAGGGGGUAGUGGAAUUCCUAGUGUAGAGGUGAAAUUCGUAGAUACUAGGAGGAACACCGGUGGCGAAGGCGGCUACCUGGACAAGUAUUGACGCUGAGGCGCGAAAGCGUGGGGAGCAAACAGG
This 253-nucleotide ribosomal RNA is filed under the name uncultured bacterium. RNAcentral's name for it is "partial 16S ribosomal RNA". It matches the Rfam family "Bacterial small subunit ribosomal RNA", at positions 524 to 776 of the family's 1533-position model. The record is from RNAcentral.